UCUUGGUCCAUUAGAGGAAGUAAAAGUCGUAACAAGGUCUCCGUUGGUGAACCAGCGGAGGGAUCAUUACCGAGUUUACAACUCCCAAACCCCUGUGAACAUACCUAUACGUUGCCUCGGCGGAUCAGCCCGCGCCCCGUAAAAAGGGACGGCCCGCCCGAGGACCCCUAAACUCUGUUUUUAGUGGAACUUCUGAGUAAAACAAACAAAUAAAUCAAAACUUUCAACAACGGAUCUCUUGGUUCUGGCAUCGAUGAAGAACGCAGCAAAAUGCGAUAAGUAAUGUGAAUUGCAGAAUUCAGUGAAUCAUCGAAUCUUUGAACGCACAUUGCGCCCGCCAGUAUUCUGGCGGGCAUGCCUGUUCGAGCGUCAUUUCAACCCUCAAGCUCAGCUUGGUGUUGGGACUCGCGGUAACCCGCGUUCCCCAAAUCGAUUGGCGGUCACGUCGAGCUUCCAUAGCGUAGUAAUCAUACACCUCGUUACUGGUAAUCGUCGCGGCCACGCCGUAAAACCCCAACUUCUGAAUGUUGACCUCGGAUCAGGUAGGAAUACCCGCUGAACUUAAGCAUAUCAAUAAGCCGGAGG
RNAcentral lists this ribosomal RNA (585 nucleotides) under Fusarium equiseti. Its description in RNAcentral is "eukaryotic LSU rRNA". The stretch from base 219 to 372 matches the Rfam family "5.8S ribosomal RNA". Lineage: Eukaryota; Fungi; Ascomycota; Sordariomycetes; Hypocreales; Nectriaceae. The record is from RNAcentral.